AGAGGUCCCAAGCGUUGUUCGGAUUCACUGGGCGUAAAGGGUGCGUAGGUGGCGGUGUAAGUCUGAUGUGAAAGCUUCGAGCUUAACUCGAAAAUGGCAUUGGAUACUAUAUUGCUGGAGGUUUGGAGGGGGGACUGGAAUUCUCGGUGUAGCAGUGAAAUGCGUAGAUAUCGAGAGGAACACCGGUGGCGAAGGCGAGUCCCUGGACAACACCUGACACUGAGGCACGAAAGCUAGGGGAGCAAACAGGAUUAGAUACCCUGGUAGUCCUAGCCGUAAACGGUGCACAUUUGCUGUAAGAGGAAUCGACCCCUUUUGUGGCGUAGCCAACGCGUUAAAUGUGCCGCCUGGGAAGUACGGUCGCAAGAUUA
RNAcentral lists this ribosomal RNA (371 nucleotides) under uncultured bacterium. Its description in RNAcentral is "bacterial SSU rRNA". It matches the Rfam family "Bacterial small subunit ribosomal RNA", at positions 527 to 896 of the family's 1533-position model. The record is from RNAcentral.